GAUAACCUGCCGGUAUGUCACCAUGUGUGUACAAGCCUGUGGCUGCGUUCCCGGGGCUCUGGUUGCACACAUGCUCUGGCAGUGUUUGUGAGUUCUCACACAUGCGCAGUGGGGCCGACCGGGAGGUAUUGUUUGCAGGCUGCAGCUCAAGAAUGUCCUGAUGGCUCGAUACAGCAAGCUCGGGUGACCUAGGAUUGCAACCAAUUCCCAGAAGUAUAAGAGCGCACAGAGCAGAUGGGAAUUUGGUGACGCUAACAUCUUAAUAAAUGUGCCAACUUCAAAGAAAAAAUUCCAAGCAAAAUAUCAUCAAUGGUUAAAAACAAAACAAAAAAAGAACCCCAAACAUAACUAUCUGGUGCACGUGAUGUAUUCCCAACAUGUCCUCACAGAAGGAGCCGUAAUGAGAGCGAAUUCCUCUUACACCAUGCUGCUCCUGUACCUAGAUUAUAGUUUGCGGUUGCAUUUGUUUUCCUUUUGUUAUUUUAGUCUCUGUGCAGACUUUUAAUUUAUUUUAAUGUUCAAUAAAGCCAUAAUCUGUUUU
This is a long non-coding RNA of Pseudophryne corroboree (corroboree frog), 541 nucleotides long. RefSeq lists it as uncharacterized. The record is from RefSeq and is a predicted model, not a curated record. NCBI's taxonomy places the organism in Eukaryota, Metazoa, Chordata, Amphibia, Anura, Myobatrachidae. The transcript is spliced from 2 exons.